CAUGAAGCUGGAAUCGCUAGUAAUCGCGGAUCAGAAUGCCGCGGUGAAUACGUUCCCGGGUCUUGUACACACCGCCCGUCACACCAUGGGAGUCGGAAAUGCCCGAAGUCUGUGACCCAACCAUUAAGGAGGGAGCAGCCGAAGGCAGGUCGGAUGACUGGGGUGAAGUCGUAACAAGGUACC
RNAcentral lists this ribosomal RNA (183 nucleotides) under uncultured bacterium. Its description in RNAcentral is "partial 16S ribosomal RNA". It matches the Rfam family "Bacterial small subunit ribosomal RNA", at positions 1319 to 1500 of the family's 1533-position model. The record is from RNAcentral.